UACGUAGGGGGCGAGCGUUGUCCGGAUUCAUUGGGCGUAAAGGGCGCGUAGGCGGCCAGUGCAAGUCAGUUGUGAAAUCUCCGAGCUUAACUCGGAAAGGUCAACUGAUACUGCUCGGCUAGAGUGCGGAAGGGGCAACUGGAAUUCUUGGUGGAGUGGUGAAAUGCGUAGAGAUCCGGAGGAACACCGAAGGCGAAGGCAGUGUCCUGGCGAGUGACUGACGCUGAGGUGCGAAAGCCAGGGGAGCGAACGGG
This 254-nucleotide ribosomal RNA is filed under the name uncultured bacterium. RNAcentral's name for it is "partial 16S ribosomal RNA". It matches the Rfam family "Bacterial small subunit ribosomal RNA", at positions 524 to 776 of the family's 1533-position model. The record is from RNAcentral.